This 274-nucleotide ribosomal RNA is filed under the name uncultured bacterium. RNAcentral describes it as "partial 16S ribosomal RNA". It matches the Rfam family "Bacterial small subunit ribosomal RNA", at positions 523 to 796 of the family's 1533-position model. The record is from RNAcentral.
AUACGGAGGGUGCAAGCGUUACUCGGAAUCAUUGGGCGUAAAGCGCGCGCAGGCGGCUAUUUAAGUUGGAUGUGAAAGCCUACGGCUCAACCGUAGAACUGCAUCCAAAACUAUUUAGCUAGAGUGUGGGAGAGGAAGAUGGAAUUAGUUGUGUAGGGGUAAAAUCCGUAGAGAUAACUAGGAAUACCAAAAGCGAAGGCAAUCUUCUGGAACACUACUGACGCUGAGGCGCGAAAGCGUGGGGAGCAAACAGGAUUAGAAACCCCGGUAGUCC